CGAGACUUCCAUCUUUUCUUGCCCCGGCUACCUUAUGCGGAUGUCUACUCCAUUUCCCCUUCUUUGACACGAUGGAAACUAUAAGAGCUUCCUUCUUUAUAGACUUAUGAAGGGAUAUGAGACUCCUUAGAGGCACUAAAUAAUGUCUAUGUAGUAUCAAUUCAGUUUCAUGGGACCUUGUUGUAAUCGUAACUUCGAUUGAACAGCCUAUUCUGAAUUACUUAGUGUUAAUCAUUUGCUAUUACCGUUUAGAUUAUUUCUCUAUAGUGCGGUGCUCUUGUUUCCUCCAACUUUUCAUUAUUGUAGCUCCUUUCUUUCUUAUGCUCUCUUGAGGUUCAUUAUCUGCUGCAUUUAAGUGCAUUCAAGCUGUGCAAAUUUGCUUGACAUAGUUGGUGAUGUAUAUCCGUUGCAGACAUUAUCGUAUUUCUUGGGGCGUGAACUUACUAACUAAAUUUCCUUCAUAAUUAGUGCUUUGCAUGGCAGGUUGCUGAUCAGGUCUCAGCUAUUUAUGGUUUGCUCUCAUAUAGCUUAUUUGUUUCAGUUAAAUGUUUUCUUCUUUGCAGGUUAUGUUUCUAACAUCUAUAUUGCUUCCUCCUGUUUUGUUUUUGACUUGCUUCUUUCCUUGACCCCUUUCUGUUUUGCAGGGUGAUCCAGGUGCUAACUUUUUUGAAAAUAUUUUGGUCUUUAUGUAAUGUUCCCUUUGUUAAGUUGAUUUCGUUUGUUCUGAGUGUUCACUUGUCUUUUAUGCUUGUGCAGGUGAAUUGGUGUUCGUUCUUUCGCUCUUCUUGGUCCAUGGGAGGCAGGAGCUAUGGAAGAUCAUUGAAAUCCUUUGCAGCAGUGGAAUAGCAAUGUACCAUCAAAGUCUUCGGCUGCAGAAUGCUUUUCAGGUAACCGUCCGAGCGCUUGUCAGUUUAUUUUGAAGAUAGACCGCAAAACUGUUUGCUGCUAUACUUACAUUAGUCUUUUCCAGUGCAUUGUGCACAACAGAAAUCAUCAGCAGAAGAGGGGUUUGGAAUUAUUCAAACAAGAGCCAGCCUGAAGCAACUGAAACUUCAAAACUCAUACUGGAGAAGAGCCUGCAGGAGCUUGAUAUCGCAUUGCUGCUGCGGUGGGAGAAGUCUACUCCAGUAUCUGCCAUCUGCGAUCCAAAGCAAAACUCUCUGUAGAUCUAGUUGAGUAUCCACCAUCUGCGAUCCAAACCAAGAUAGAUCUCUGAAGAUAUAGUUGAGUAUCCACCAUCUGCGAUCCAAACCAAGAUGUCUGAAGAUCUCAACAGAUUUUAGUGUCCCUAAUCCAACAAGCUUGUUCUCAACGCAAACUUAUACUGCCGUGGAAUUUCCUUUUUCCAUUCUAAAAGGGAUUAGGUCAUGAUUGUUCAUUGUAAGGCAAUUAUAUCCAGAGUAAAGGGAACUUUCCUUCUGCCUCAAGUUUUGUUGAUUCCCAUCUUUGAAUGCCUACAGGUUCCCCCUGUGACUAGUAGUAGGAUAUUUAGUUUUUGGAGUAGUGUUGGGUGGUUACAGUGCUGGGUGCUUACUUAAGAUGCUAUUUGCACUCCAUAGAUCUUGCUUGGAAUGCAAGAUAGAUCUUGAAGUUCUAAGGGCAUCUCCAGCCGUUGAGCCCCUCAGGAGGCAUUUUUUUCGCCGCUUGGGGGGCUGCCGGCGAAAAUUUUGUCCUGCGAACGAGAAAAUCUCCAGCCGUUUCCUCCCCAAGCGAGGCUGUCGUCCGAAGCCGCGGGGCCGUCGAAGGCCGCUUCGCCUUCCAGCAGCGCGUCCAUGCCGCCCGUAGUCCCGCUCCUUGCCUCCGCUGGCCCCGCCCGCGCCUGGCCGUUGGCAUGCAGGAAGGCCGUCGUUGCAUCGCGGCCACCGCGCCGCCGAGGACGACCACCUGAGCAUGAGCGGCAACAGCCUCCCCUGCGCCCCCCUCGCGGGCGCGCGCUGCCAGGACCGGCACGGCAGCCUGACCACCUCCUCGUGCCCUGCACCAGCCGCCCGGUGCUGGCCAUGUCCCCGUCCCCGUCGCCAUAUCCCCGUCCUCGUCGCCCAAGGCCGGUGCUCUCCAACUCUGUGCGGGAGUCGGCUGGGGCGGGACAGCGAGGCGAGGGCGGCGGCNNNNNNNNNNNNNNNNNNNNNNNNNNNNNNNNNNNNNNNNNNNNNNNNNNNNNNNNNNNNNNNNNNNNNNNNNNNNNNNNNNNNNNNNNNNNNNNNNNNNNNNNNNNNNNNNNNNNNNNNNNNNNNNNNNNNNNNNNNNNNNNNNNNNNNNNNNNNNNNNNNNNNNNNNNNNNNNNNNNNNNNNNNNNNNNNNNNNNNNNNNNNNNNNNNNNNNNNNNNNNNNNNNNNNNNNNNNNNNNNNNNNNNNNNNNNNNNNNNNNNNNNNNNNNNNNNNNNNNNNNNNNNNNNNNNNNNNNNNNNNNNNNNNNNNNNNNNNNNNNNNNNNNNNNNNNNNNNNNNNNNNNNNNNNNNNNNNNNNNNNNNNNNNNNNNNNNNNNNNNNNNNNNNNNNNNNNNNNNNNNNNNNNNNNNNNNNNNNNNNNNNNNNNNNNNNNNNNNNNNNNNNNNNNNNNNNNNNNNNNNNNNNNNAAGGGCGGCGGCGUGCCGGGCGCGGCGAGGCGAGGGAUGGCGUUGGAGAAGGGCGCGUGGUGGAGGAGGAGGAGGAGGAGGAGCUCGGGCGGAGGAGGAGGAGGAGGAGCUCGGGCGGAGGAGGACCUCGUCCACACCCGCGAGCAAGCCUCUCCUCGCCCCGCUGGGGAGAAGAUGGUUAGGUGGUCGCCGCCGCCGCCGCGGGACGUCGAGCUUUUCCCCUCCCUGGGUGCCCACGACGCCGUCUCGCCGCAAGCCCAAGGCGGUCAUCCAGGAGCCGGCCGCGGACGCCCAGGCCUCCGACGCCUCCGAGAGCCAGGGCGGCGAGGAAGGGGAGGAGGAAGGGGCGGCUCGCCGGAGCGAGGAGCAGAGGUGGGAGGAGAGAGAGUAGAGGAGCGAGGAGCAGGGGGCGGCGGGGCAUGCGGGAGAGAGAGAGGAGAGAGCUUUGUCUUCUUUUGCAUGCACAAUGUGGUGGGCCUAGCGAGGAAAAAGGAGGAGAGAGAGACUAGAGAGGCUGACAGUGGGCCUUUUGUAGUUAAAUUAUAGCGCCGGCGCCCCCAGCUGCUCCCCGGCGUGCUGGGUUUGCCUUGCGCGUGCCGGCCGUAACUUUCGUCAAAACCAGCGCAAAACUAGUUCCUGAGACCCUGAGUGGGUCGUUUUUUGCCCGCCGGCGUCUAAAAAUGCGCCUGGGGAGGCUUCUUGAGGGCCUGGCUGGAGAUGCUCUAACAGUUGUUUAAAUAUGGAUCCCAAUAGCCAGUUUGCGAACAUUUUAAUGCCAAACUCUGCAAAAACACACAUGGCAAUUUCUUUAGAAACACGUGGCAAUUUCUAGGAACAAAGCAUUCUGUUGUGAAAAUUGUUGUUUUUGCUUGAAGGAAUUGCCAUGUUCCCAAAACUAAAAUUGCUGUGAAAGAUGUUCGUUUUGCCAUCCACCUAACUACUCCCUCCGUUCUGAAUUACUUGUUUUGAAUUUGUCUAGAUACGGAUGUAUCUAGACUCAUUUUAGUGCUAGAUAUCUCCGUAUCUAGACAAAUCUAAGACAAGUAAUUCGGAACGGAGGGAGUAAAAUUUAAUGUGGAAUUUCUACGAGAAGUUACAUGCCUAACUGAAACGCCGAGGAUGGAAAGCUUGGCUGCCAGGCGCCGUGAGAGUGCUACACGCAGGCAGAAUAAAUCGCUCUUACCGUCGGAUCUUCGACGGACGGUGGCGACGGCAGGUGAGACGGGUAUGCCUCUCUGGCCAACGGCAGGCAACACGUGGCCGAUGCGUGGCAGUGGAACUGGCCAGGACCUCGGCGCUUCCGCCCACUCCAGCCACACAGAACGCGCACAAAAAUGGCGCUCGCCGCCGCUCCCUCCAGCCGGUUCCCCACCGCUCCUUUCCGACCAUCGCCGUCUUCGCCUCUCCAGAGACACGCGCACUUCCGCCCUCAGAACCCACGUCGCAGCCCUCCUCCACUCCUCGCCGCCGCGGCCGCCGCCCCCCUCACCGCAGUACGGUCUGUCGGACACCGACCCCCUCGUUAGCCGCAGGCACGAUCUGAGGCUUUUGUUUGCUGCAGGCGGACACGGAGGGGCGGAAGCACGAGCUGCUGCGGGCGGUGCAGGAGACAGGACGCGGCUCGGGGGCCAGCCCCGACCAGCGCGCGGCCAUCGAGGAGGCCAUCGUACUACUCCCUGCUCUAGCUAUUUCCUUGAAUCGCAUUUGCUCCUGGGCGGCGCGGGCCGGUGUGGGACGGCGAGGGAUAUCGAUCUGAUGUGUGUGCGUGGUGUGUAGGUGUGCGUGGAGGAGCUCGGCGCCGGGGAGGGGGUGCCGCUGGACCUCACGGCGCUCGACGGCACCUGGAGGCUGUGCUACACGUCUGCAUCGGACGUGCUUAUGCUCUUCGAGGCGGCCGAGAGGCUCCCUCUCCUGCAGGUGUGUCUCUGCUUGUACCUCGAUUUUUCAAAAUUCAUCAUGAGAAUCCCAUGACAGUUAGCAACAAACAAAUAGCAAGUAUGCAAAUGUUUGAUAUCGUGGAAACUCUGCUAUUCCGUAGUGUGCACUUUAAAGCUCUAUGGAAACCUGGAGCUAUUAAGAGGUUGAUCAUGAAUUGUUUUCUGACACUUCAGAAAAUUGCUUUAUAGUGUGUACAGGCAGAUGAUCAUGUUUGAUAAAUUUGCGGAAAGUGCAGGAAGCCUUACGUCUGGGAUGGUGCUUUUGUAUGUGUGCAGGUAGGGCAAAUAUACCAGAAAUUUGAGUGCAAGGGUCGGUCGGAUGGUGGAAUUGUGCGGAAUGUCGUGCGUUGGAGCAUCGAGAACUUGCUGGAGGUAAAUCUUUAUGAUAAUUGUGCAUCUAUGUGUCCUUUCUUGGAGGUUUUGUUCUUUUAACCUAACUUUGCGCCACAACAGGUCUUGUUUAGUUUUCGCAGAAAAAAUAGUUGCUAUAUUUUUCUGUUGGUGCUGUCACUUUGCCUGGAACUCAGAAUAUACAUGUUUUUGUUUUGUGAGUGUCAUCGUUGCGGAUGGUCAAAAAAAUGCAAAACAGCAACAACAACAACAAAGCCUUUAGUCCCAAGCAAGUUGGGGUAGGCUAAAAAAAAAAUGCAAAACAGCAAAAGGACAAUAUCCUUUGUUAACUUGUAAUUUUGUAGUAGGAUGGCAUUAGUAUGCAGUGAAACAGUGAAAGCUUGGCACCUUAGAUAGCAUGGUGUAUAUUUGGUUCUUCUUUACGACAAUUCAUCUUAACAAGUUGCUGAUAUAUACUUAAGUAGAGCCUUUAGCUCAUCAUAUGUGCUUUUCUGCCCUUCUAUUAUUAUAAACAUGACUUGGUUGUUUCCGUUUGACCAAUCGAGGGGAGAGGCUGGUUCGUAAGAAGGAUCAUUGUAUCAUAUGCAUGGAUAUGGCAAUAAUAUAGUGAAAAGCAUAGGAAAAUGGUAUUUUUAGCUUUGCAGCGGCUUGAUAAAAUGAUUGCAGAAUGUUCAUAGUCCUUUUGUUACAGGAACAGAUUUUGGUCUAGAAUUGCAUUAUUUUUAUAUUGUGCAGUCUGUAGUAUGACGAUUUUUGGCAUAAAAAAUGAUUUAUAAUCCCUUCAUUUGACAUAUUCUGCUUAUCAGCCUGUUUGCAUGUCAUUGAUUAAGUACUGUAUACAUUUCUGUCUUUAACUCUCAUUUGGGUUAGCUCUUUUGUGUUUGAUUCUGUUAGUGGUCUAUAUAGGAGCAAGAGGGUGCAACACUGAUGGUCUCUGCAAAAUUUGAUGUUCUGUCUAAGCGCAACAUAUUUCUUCAGUUCGAGGAGGUAAUUUUUCUAUUGAAAAUAUCUUUGCCUGCUUAUUUGAGGGAGCGUUGUAAUAAGAAAGAUUGGGGGUGAUGAUAAGAAAGCAGGUUAGACAUUUUUCUUCAUACAAGCUUAUGCGCAGUUUCCACUAUCUUUCAAUACUGGAAUGCAACAUCAAUCCAGAAUCAAUAUGCCAGGCAUGGUUGUUCCAAAGGGUUUUGCCACCUACUAUUAACAAACCAAAACUAGAAGUUCCAGCUGCCACCAAAACUCCAAAAGUAUAGCAAUCAAGGUUACUGAAAAAGAAACGACACUUACAGCAGCUCAAAGGGAUGCCAAAACAACCAUAGAACAUUCCCUGAACAGCAGUUCUGGACUCAUCGAAGUGAUUCAUCAAAUAGAAGCUUCAUCUCCCUGUUCCUUGACCCUCCCCUGAGUCAACACUCGAGAGCACUUGUUCAGCAACAUCUGCCUGGUCCCCACCCCUGCCAGCAGCACCUUCCUGUCUGUACCCACGUAAAAAAUUCCCGUUAUGUAUGGAAAAGAGCAUGCAUAAACUAACUGGAAGGAAAUUAAGAAUCCAUCAGAAAAACUGAAUAAGCGUAUGUUAGAUAUGAUGUGAUGUUCAGUGUGCAGUAGUGGUAGGCUAAGUAGGUGAUAGGUAUGCUCUAUGAGGUAUCUCCGUAUCUGCAGCUAAGUAGUACUCCCUCCGUCCCAAAAUAAGUGUCUCAAGCUUAGUACAACUUUGUACUAAAGUUAGUACAAAGUUGAGACACUUAUUUUGGGACGGAAGGAGUAUAUAAAACACAUUAGCAUUAUCCAUGAUUCAUUUUCACAUGAAACAUGAUGCUAGAAUAGAGCCAGACUCUGACAUGUUAUCGUCAUAUUUCUAACUGCUCAUGGCUACGAGUUGUUUGUAAUGCGCACAGGGUAGUUGAACAGUUCUUUCUUGGCUUCUCUCUUUUUGGCUUUUUUUUUUCUCGAAGACACCUGGAAGGGUGUCAUUUUCAUUGAGAAGAAAAGUGCUAAGAUAGCGCAACGACCAAUAUCUACUAUUUUUAAUUUAAUUUUUGGCUUUGCUUUCUUUUGGUUUUAGCUUAGUUUUUCUCCCUUUUGCCUGUUUGGCUAUAAGAUCCACGCCAUCUAUGUGCCUUCUCCUAAUACAAAAUGGCAUGCAUUUAUAUGUCUGUUUGAGAAAAAGAAGCUAUUUGCAAUGCUGAAAUUUGUCCGUUUUCUGUAUUUUCAUGCACCAUCUAAAGCUAAGGCUUCUGGGAAGAAGUCUGUGCUUAUGCCACCAUCUUUUCUCAAUUUUGUUUUCUUUGAUUUAUGUAUUUUACCCUUUUUUCUUCAUUUAUGAUCCAUUGUCUAAUAGGUAGCUGUAGAGAAUAUCAAGAUUAGUGAGCAGCUACAAGCACUGAUAGCUCCUGCUAUACUUCCUCGGUCUUUUUUGAGUCUUCAGGUAAGCCAGGUUAUAUGAAUAUAAUUAUCUCUUCAGUUUGAAUAUUACCUGUUAUGGUUACAAUCCUUUUCCCUUUUCAUUAAAAGCAUGCACAUCCUCUGUAGUCCAUAUGUAUAUUUUCAUUUGACAGUUAUAAUAGUUUUGAGAAUGCUAGUUACCAAAAGAUUUAUUGUUAUUCUCUUUUGUUCCAGAAUACAACGGUUAUUGUAAAAAUAAUUAUUUAUUUAGGAUCAUUGUUUCACUUUCAAAAUGCUCAUCAACUAUUAUACAAGUGUUUCAUUGCAGUGACUAUGUUUGCAGAUAUUGCAGUUCCUUAAAACUUUCCGAGCUCAAGUUCCUAUCAGCGGCCCCGAAAGGUACUUUUUUGAAGAAAACAAUCUUCCUUCUUUGCUUCCUUUGUUCGUAAGUUUCAUACUGAAUUUUUAUCAGACGAUCACCUGGAGGACUAUACUAUCUUUCUUACCUUGACUGUGACAUGCUCCUGGGGCGUUCAGUUGGCAGUGGUGGUGUUUUUAUUUUCACAAGAGCCCAGCCUCUAUUAUGAAGGUUUUCUAAUUUCCAUGGGUGUGUUGUAUAAUAAAAUUAUGGUUAUAGAUGGGCUUACCUGCAUACAUUAGGUAUGUGAAAUCUGAUUACUGUCCAGUUCUACUUAUAGCAAUCACCUUCUGCUUCCGUGUGUCAAGAAAGAUCUUUUUGUUCAUCAGGUUUCUGAGUUAAUUAACUUGAUGACUUUUUAUUCUGUGCAUUGGCAUGUGUUUUUGUUUGAGUUCUUCUAUAUGUACGGCGUUUUCACGUUCACAAGUACGAUAGCAGAUGCAUGUGCUUUCAUCGAAUCUACCAGCUCUAUCUGGAAAAGGAAGCAAGUGGAGUAUGCAACUCAGUUGAGACGCAUCGGACCUUAUGAGAGUCGUACCUGAAAAUGUCGUAUGCAAAGCAAUUUCGCUUUUGUUUCUAGUAUUAUCAUUGUUAGUGUAUUUGUGGAUUGCCUAGCCCUUUCCAUCAGUUCCGACUUUUGGUUGCGUUGGCUAGUGCAUGAAGCUUGACAAUCAUAUCUGCAUUGUUUUCAAUGUGUCUAUAUCACUCAGUACCACUGGCGACAUGUGAUUGUUUAUGCCUAUUACUGUAAUCUUAGCCUAACAAAUUUACUAAUCUGCACUGUAUGACUGUAAUCAAUAAGUCUUUAAAAUAUGUUCUUGCUGUCUGCAAAAUCAAAAUGCAGUUAACAUUUAUCUUUUGGGUUGAUCUUGUUGGGCUUCCUUUCCAGUGUAGUAGCUGUUAGGUUAUUGGAUUAUUUUUUGCUGCAGUUACUAUCUGCAUACGAUUAUUGAUGUCCCACAAAAACAAUUAUGUACUUUUCUUUUUGCAAGAAAUAAAUAUGUGCCUAUCAUUCAUGUGUAGCAAGCCUGUCACGGACGAUAUUAUGGCAACUAUUUUAUUACAGUCACAUUUACUCAUACAAUUAUUGUUAAGUUGAAGUGACAGGGUUAUGUUGAUCCCUUUGCUGAUUAAAUUAUCAACUCAUUUAAAUUGUUCCCAUUUCAUAUAAUUCAGGUCACUUGACAUAAUAGUUUUUUUUUUUGAAACGAGGCAAAAGAUUUGCCAUUUCCAUUGAAUAAGGAGAAGAGUAUGGUUUAGUGCAUCACUGCCCCGCCAAAGCUGAAAGGGCAAAGGCCUACUCUCGCGGCAUCAAAUUACACAAAUGUUUGGCUCCCGCCAUAGCCCAGAUAGAUGCCUCCUCCUUAAUAGUUCGCACUAUGACCGCCACAGGCGCCGCCUUGGUCCUGAACACGCGUGCAUUUCGCUCCUUCCAAAGCUCCCAGCUUACAAGGUGUAGUACGGAGGCCAAGGCUCUCCUCGGGUGCGCAUUGUUGGCGAGGACUCCAUCCCACCAAAACCUUACUGUGCCAAAGUUCAACCAUUGGGUGGUAUCUACAUCAAGGUGCAGCCAUGCAAGGACCUCCUUCCAGACCCGAAUGGAGAAGCGGCACUUGAACAGUAGAUGUGCCGUGGAUUCUCGCACUUGAUUGCAAAGCGGGCAACGAUCACAGUUUGGCCACCCACGACGUUGUAGCCUGUCCGCCGUCCAGACCCGAUUUUGUGUGACCAACCAUGCAAAGAAUUUACAUUUUGGAGGGGCCCAAGCCUUCCAGACAGUGGUUUGCAAGUUGGAUUGAACAAGUCCAGCAAAUUGGGCCAAAUAGGCCGUCUUGGCAGAGUAAGAUCCAUCACUGGAGAGCUUCCAAAGCAUGGUGUCCGGGACACCAGGUUGGAGGUUGAUAGGCAAGAGCAUGUUCCACGGAGCAAUGAACUGUUCGAGAUGGACUAGGGAUAAUCCUGCUGUUGUGUCAAUCCAAUUUACCCAGUUAUCCUCCCUGAGGGCCAAAGCAACGGUGCCACGCUUCUUCCUAGAAAGCUCGAAGAUUUUUGGGGCGAUGUCUUUGGGACGGAUGCCAUCCAACCAAGAAGACUCCCUGAAAAUGGCCUUGGAGCCAUCACCAAUUGUGACCUUAGUGACAGCCGCAAAGAUGUCUCGAUCUAACUUUCUAUAGGGGAGCUCAGUACCACACCAUGCCAUUGGCGGGUCCUCCCACUCCAGCCAUAGCCAUCUAAGGCGGAGCGCGGUGGCGAACUUUUUCAGAUUGAGGAUUCCCAGGCCCCCAUAUUGCUUGGGCCUGCAAACGUGCUCCCAAUUAAUUUUGCAUUUGCCGCCAGACAGUGUCAGUUCCAGCCCAAAGAUAGGCUCUCCGCAGGCUGUCCAAUUUCUGUAGCACCUCCACCGGGAUGUCUAGUGGGGUGAUAUGGUAGAUGGCCACCGCCGUGAGGACCGCCUUGACCAAGGCCAUUCGGCCCGCAAUAGCCACAUGUCUCCCUCUCCAAGGUGCAAGCUUUCCGACUGCUUUGUCUUCAAGGUGCUGUAAAUGGAUCCUUUUGAGCCGUCGAAUCGCAAGCGGAAGGCCUAAGUAGCGAAUUGGGAAUGAUGAACGGCAGGCUGGGAAAUGCUGCAGGAUGUCAUUGAGGUCCAGACUUGCGCACUGGAUGGGGGCAACCAAGCUCUUCGCACAGUUGGUGACCAGCCCCGUUGAUUCACCAAAGGAGGAGAGCGUGUUGGCAAUGAAACUGACAUCCUCCUUGAUAGGGGCACAAAAAACCGCCGCAUCAUCAGCAUAUAAAGAAGCCCUAAUGCCCGUGAAGCGGCUGCCUAGCGGGUGCAGAAGACCCUGAGAGGUGGCCUUUUCCAAGAUGUGGUGCAACGGGUCAAUGGCCAACACGAAGAGCAACGGCGAGAGAGGGUCACCCUGUCGAAGGCCACAUCCAUGCUUGAUUGGGUCACCGGCAAUACCAUUGAGCAAAACCCUGGAGGAGGCUGUGGAGAGGAGAGCCGAAACCCACCCUUUGAAUCGACUCGGGAAGCCAUGGUGGGUUAGCAGCUCCAUCAGAUAAUCCCAUUUUACCGAGUCAAAAGCCUUCUUGAUGUCAAGCUUGAAGAGGAGCAAAGGAGUUUUUUUGCGGCGAAAUUUCCUUGCCAAGUUCCGGACAUACAGGAAGUUGUCGUGGAUACUCCUUGUUUUGAUGAAGGCACUUUGCGCAAUGGAGACGAUAUUGUUCAUAUGACGGGCCAACCGUGUUGCAAGGAUUUUGGCAAUGAGCUUUGCAACGGCAUGUAUCAGGCUGAUGGGUCUGAAGUCUGAGAUGUCUUCGGCGCCAUCUUUCUUAGGGAUGAGGGCGAUAUUCGCCGAGUUGAGCCAGUGGAAGUUUUCCGCAUGCAGAUUUGAGAACUUGUUGAUCACCAACAUGACAUCAUCUUUGAUAAUGUUCCAGCAGACCUUGGAAAAUUUCCCGGUGAAACCGUCAGGUCCGGGGGCCUUGUCUCCAGGAAGAGCAGAGAGUGCAUCCUUGACUUCAUCCUCUGUGAUGAGCUCCCCAAGGUCGGAGAGGUCAUGGGUCGUAGGGGGAAAGGCGGACCAGUUGAUAGUUUUCGAGCGUGGCGUACCCCUCUUGAUAAUGUUGGCAAAAUGUGUCUGGACAAUGCUGCUUUUAUGAUCAUGGCUAGUCACCCAGCCACCUCCAUGCUUGAGUAGUUAGCGAAUAUGAAUCAUCGUAGUGGAUGUAAGUAGCUACCUGGGGUCUCUUUGCUUUCACUGCAGGAGUAUUGGAACUGUACCCACUGAAAUAUGCAGUUUUAGAAUCAAUUUGACAUUUGAGUAUUGUGUGCUCUUAUAGAUAUUUUAGGCCAUGUGUUAUUGGGGGACUUGUCUGCAGUUCGCAGAUUAGUGAUGACGGUUUUGUAGCUUGACAUGGACAUCAAGCAGUCAAAGUCUAAUGAAGCUUGUCAGCUGGUGAACCAUAGGAGGCGAUGAAGCAUCAACUUUUCGAAAUUGAUAGUAGUAGUUCAGAAACAAAGGGCCCAAUAUAGGUUAUUUUUAUCCUAAUAUGUACUCCCUCCGUUCCGAAUUACUUGUCGCACGUAUGGAUGUAUCUAGAUGUAUUUUAGUUCUAGAUACAUCCAUUUCAGCGACGAGUAAUUUGGAACGGAGGGAGUAACAGAAGUCGUUGCCUUAGUAUUUGGGCAUCAUAUGGAGUCAUUGGUUUCUGAUCUUUUCAUUUAAGCGUGAAAAAAUCACUGUAGGGCUCACCUUAAGACCAACUUACAAGGAAUAAACAUUGGCAACACCCUUAGACCUUAGUAAUUGGGCAUAUCACAUGGAUUCAUGGACCAUGCACUCAGAGCUAAUAUCAUUUCAAGGCAAGCGGCCAACCUUGUGCUAGAAUCGUUUGUGUGUGUGUGUGUGUGUGUGUGUGUGUGUGUUUUAUGAAAUCGUGGUCCUCAAUUUGGUUAUAAUGGAAAGUAGGGUGUCCUUUUGCCCAGUUUGUGUUCAGGACUGAAAGUACUUAUAACUACACUUCAAACAUUGCACAUGCCCACUCUUAUGGCUAAAAAUCAAACUGUGCUUUACACCUCAGUUGUAUUUAUCCAGUAAUCCUAUGAGGUUCAGCACUUGGGUUGUUGGUUUACCGUUUACACACUUCAUUAAACUAAAGGGGUCACCAUAGUCACCAUGCUGCUAUUUCAAACUCUUCUGUGGGCAAAACUAAAUGCCAAAAUCUCUGCUGUGAGUAACAGGUCGCUAUGUUUGAGAACCAACAAUAUGUUCAGUAGUCAGGCGAGGUGAUUGUACCCUAGCCUACCAGGAUCCAACCCCAAGUUUGACAUCUUGUUUGUCUCACCAAGGUGGAUCAUGCAUAGGUGAUAGAUGACGUACCCUUCGAUAGUGAGGUGCUUUUGGACUUGGUCUUCUUCUGUGAAUACGCGGGCAUGUGUGUAUGCGUCUGUGUUGUGUGUUUAAACCAAAAAAAGAGGGGAAAACAAUUUGCUACAUUUAUUUGAGUUAAAAGUGUUUAACAAAAAUGCCAGGUUUUUGUUUUUAAGCCAUAGCCGAAUACAGUCUUCUAAAUGAAGCCAUGGGCCAACAUUUUGUUUAGUCAUGUCAGCAAUCUUGCAACUGAUCCGCGAUCCGCGAAUAUUCUUUUCUUGGUGUUUGGAUAUGCUUUCCUUGAUGUUUGUCGAGACCCACUUGUGCUAUGCAUCUUUAUACAUGGCAGUAUGCUUUGCUGGUGAGGUGCAUGUGGUGGCAACCCCUACACCACAAGUUCUUUUUUGUGUGUGUUCAUGGUGGGGCUGCAGACCCUCUGUGUCAUGCUUUAGAUUCUACGCCAAAAGGCUAUGGCUCAUGUCUAGCUCUGCAACCACCUAAAAAUCGAAGAGGAAUUCACAUCUGUUUUAGUUGUUUGUGUUGUUCUGUUGAAUCUCAAGUUGGAAAUUUUUAUCUUUAAUUCUCUAGAAAGGUUUUAGAAGCCUUCUAGUAGAAGAUUUACUGAUUGAUUUUACCCAAGUUUCAUGGAGAAUGCAGACAAGACGUUUUCCUCCUUCCAGCCUGGAUUCCAGGUGCGUAUCUGAACGCAGUACUCCUGAUUAAAGAUCAGGUCACCCUAUUGGAGACAAGUCAGGUCAUAUGCUCCAUCAAUUUUUGUACCUCUUGUCUGCACACUUCCGCGUUCAUGGUUAUUCCGUGGAAUUGUCUUGGUUUCUGAGGAGCAUGACCAUUUCACACCUCCAGUCAGCUAUCUGGAAGAUUGACAUUUUUUCAGGAUGAAAAGUUCCAUGCCCCAUUUCAUACCUCUCUUUUUCAUUACAUGCGUGCUGCUGUCAAAUAUCCGAGGUCCCUGAUUUGCCAUUACUAUUUCCAAUUGCAUUAUAUCAGUCAACUUUGUGCUGUAUGGUGUUGGUCCGAAGUUUCCUUACUUUUGUUGCUUAAUUGAGCAGCUGGUGCGGUCGUUUUCUGUGUGGCGUCACACGUCUCGUUUUCUAGCAGUGUCAUCUAGUCGAUUCAAAUUGUUUGAAGAAUUCCGUAACAGAGCGUAUGCAUUGCAAGUAGAAUUCCUUGCUAUAGUAUAACUGUUGGCAGCUCACAGCUUGGCAACGUGGUCAGCAAUCUCUCGACCAGAAUAUGCUGGCCGCACCCGCAAGAAGAAACCAGGAACUUGUCAAGAACACCGAAACAUCGGCUUCCCCUGGGAACUGACUGCUCGUAAGGAUGGUGAAACCUGAAAGUCGAACAAUUCAAUCGAGGGAAAAUUUAGAGAACGAACGUCCUGUGGGUCGUCCUCCAGCGCGACGCACUCUGCGCCAAUGGAUAUGGCUCGUGAUCAUCUCGUUUUAUAUGCACAUAAGCUCGAUCGUUGUCAAGGAAUCCGUUGCGUGUGAUAUUAGAUGAAUGCAUGCGUCAGCUCAAGUUUGCAUCAGAUCGGGGGCAACAUUUAGAUGUCCUCCAAGAGAUUCGUAGUACUACACAAACAACAUUAUAUACAUCUCAUCAAGAAGAAGAAAAAUGUACAGUACAUCCUAAACUACGCUCCACCACCACGGACGAGUUGGCAUCAAACACACGCCGGCGGAAAAUUUAGAAACCCGUACAGGUACAGCCUUGCAUAAUCGCACAUAAUAGUAGUAAUAAGCAAGGAAACGCAUGAUGAGAUUCGGUUCGUCAGUGAAGGCCGGAUUGCACGACGCCGCUGUGGAGGCCGGAGGACCUGAGCAGGCCGUCCAUGAGGGCGAGCCUCUCGGAGAGCGCCCUGACGUGCUGCUGGUACUCCAUGGCCUGCGUCAUGGCCUCGGCCUCCAGCUCGCCGAGCUGCACGCACAGCCGCUCCUCGGCCUCCUCCGCCACGGCCACCCGCGCCAGCGCUGCCUCCAGCUCCCGCCUCAGCCGUUCCUCCCUCGCCUCCGCCUCCGCCACGGCCCUCGCGAGCUCGGAGCUCUUGCCGUCCAUGGCCGCUGCUGCCUUCCUCGCCAUGCCUCCUAACUUCUCGGGGAUGAGUGGGAGAAUAUGUGUACACUAUAGACCUUUUUUUUUCUUUGAGGAGAAUGCGUACACUAUAGACAGACGUGUUUACGAGUUCGUUGGAUCUGGAUGCCUCUCAGGUUGUGGCGCCUUUUAUAUAGGCCGGGCCGGCUGCAGCUGCCGAGGGAAAGCGGGAAUGUGUCCAGGUUCAAUGAACCAAUCGGGCACGUUAGGUGUCGGCGUACGUGUACAGCGCUGCUACAUAUAAGGUGAGGUCAUCAUUCGUUGAUAAUUCGAUGCUUUGCCCGUACGUCUCUCUCUUAUUGCAUUUCCUCCUGGUUGAGAGGUGAACGUGGUGGGCGGAUGGAUAGUCAAACACCAGCAACCACAACUUUUGCUUGAUUUGUCUAGCACAUUCUGGCCGUUCGAUCGAGCGUCGGAGGGUAGAGGUUGGAGAGACAUACGAGGGUGAAUAUCGGGUGAUACAGAGCGAGUUUGGAUCAUGCCCUGGCCAGAAAGUACCUGGCCUGGAGCGUGCCUGAAAAUUGCCUGAAGUGUGUUUGGUUGCUACCCUGGAAAAACGCAUGCGUGUCUGGCCUGAUUCAUCUGUACUGUGAUUAGCCUGGACGGUUUACCAGGCAUGUGGCUUAGCCUGGUUCAGGACAUCUAUUUUGGACGUCUGGGUGCCUGGCUCUUGAUUAGUAAUUUAAUAUUUGGAUGUGAUGGUGGGCUCCACACUAGUACAACAUUUUACCAUAUAAAACUAUCUCUAAUACUUCACCAGGCAAGGCCACCAACCAAACAAUGCUCUCCCAGGCUAGCCUGGCCAGGCACAAAAUUCAGACUUUUCAGGCACAUCCCAGGCAUCAAAAUUCUCCAGGCACAUUGCCCAGGACACAAACCAAACUGGCCCACAAUCCCUUACAUGCUCCCAUGAUACCAACUUGAAAUAUUAAACUUAAAUAUUUUAAAAAAUUCUUUUUUUUUGUAAAUGUUCACAACACAUGUUUUUUUUGCGGGUAUACAACACAUGUGUUUACAUCUUCUAAAUAAUUCAGAUCCAAAUUCAAAGCACAGAUAGAGGAAAAAAAUCUUCAUCGUCAUCAAUAGUGUGAAUAAAGACAAAAACAUGGAUAGUUGCAAAGGGUACACUAUUCACAUCUCGAUUUGUCUUUUUUUGUUUCUCUCUUUGUACUUUGAAUUUGGAUCUUAAAAUUUUAGGGAUUGUAGACACAUGUGUUUUGAACGCUCACAAUUUCCUAGGAAUUUUUUGAACCAUAUAACUGGCGGUAUCACCUGAUAUCCUCCCAGAUAGAUGAUUGACCUCUCCUCCUUCGAUCUCAAACAUUUCUUCCAUGAGGAUGCACUUUUCAAACAUAGGUAAUUAAAAUAUCCUGAAAUUAGUGAAAUUGGAUCAAACCAUCUAAAAAGGCAUAAGUGACAUGAGAAGCAUCCAUCACGCAUAAUGCAUAUAUGUCCCUCUUGAAGAUCAUAUUUAGAUGAAUGAUCUUCAAGAGGGAGUUGUUUAUGUUAGCUGGGUUCAAUCUUGCAACUAAUCUACCGCAAUGACAAAAGUGGAAAACUUGUAUUGUGUUGUUGCCACUAAGGAUACAAAGAUAGCUGUGUAUUUGUCCUUUAUACUACAUGCAUCAUGUCACCAUGCUUAAUGCAAUGCUCCUUUUCAUCUAUCACUUCGCAUGCUAGAUAGCGGUCUUGGCUGUCGGAUGGACUACUGUGCAUGGUGUUCAAGGUGUCGCAUCUGGCUUGGUACCGUCUGUGAUGAUACUCAUGGCGGUCUCCUCCGUGUCGUGCCGCUCAUUGCGAGCCUUGCGCCUGCGUUGAGGACCCUAUGGAAGAAUGCCGGCUUUUGGAGGUGGAGAUGUUUACUCUAGCUGCGAAGGCUUCUCAAGGACGGGUGCACACAAGUGGUGAUGGGCGCUGCAUGCGGCAUUGUCGGGGUCACCAACCCUUCGAUUUGGGCAUGCGGGCUUGUAACACCCCGGAUGUCAUGCUACAGUGAUACCCUGUUAAUGGUGCCAUGCCAUCACAAUUAAUUUUGCUAAAGUUCACUUUGAUCCAAACCUAGUCAAAUUCAAAUUCAAAUGCAAGUCAAAAAAAUUCAAACAGUAAAAAUAAAUUGUUUGUUGGGUUGCAAAUAAUCAUUAAGUAAUUGUAGUGUAGGAACCAACAUCAUUUGAAAUAUUUAAAUGCCCCUAACCUAUUUAAAACUAAGCCAACAACAUUAAAGCAUACCAUUUCAAUUUAAAUAAAUAGCUAACCAUUUCAAAGUAAAUUGUAACUCUGUGUGCUAGCUCAGAUCAUUGCCUAAUAAUCAUGGGCCAAAUUUCAUAGUUAAUUAAAGUCAUUUAGUAAGAAUUUAAAAUGUAAAACAAAAAAUAAUAAAAGGAACAUAAAAUAAAAUGGGAAAUAGAAAAGAACGCACUAUACACUUGGCCCAACGCUCACUGUUUCAGGGCCAACCCACCUAACCUCCUCAUCCCCUACUGUAAGUGCAUCUAGUGCCACCCCUAGUUGGUUUUGGAGUAUUGAUGACAAAGUUGGUUGAGGGACUAAUGCAUCUGUGAGAAUUGCAGGAUAACGCAGGUAGUGUCCCUCAUUGAUUCGGUUUACCUACCGGAGAUGACCCCUAAAAAUGUAUGAAGACAUUGAAGACAAUGGUGGUGUGUGAAGAUAUUCACAUUGAAGACUAUGACAUGAGAAGACAUUGAGUGAAGACUAUGGAGCGCGAAGACUGUGUUGUUUCGUUGUUUCCUUUUCUUCUUUGUUGAGUCAUAGGAACCACCGUACUGUUAAGUGGGGUCCAAGUGAACAAAGUCAGAAUGACUGAAGUGAUGCUCAACCUAAAUCCUAUGUCUUCGAGCGAAGACAAUGAGAGCAAAUCUUAUCCAGAGCUGGAUGAGUCAGCUUUGCUUGUAGCCCAAGUAAAGUUGCCAUGUGUGUUUGAAAUCUGACCGUUGGAACACGUGUCAGUUCCUUAGUGACCCAGGGUCAUUUUGGACAUAUCAGGUCGGGUUGCCUUGUGGCUAUAAAUAGCCCACCCCCUACACCAUAAAUUGGUGGCUGCUCAGAGUUAGUUUACGGCUUUUGUCAUUUGAGAGCAACCCACCUCGAAGCCUUUGAGAGAGAGAAAUCCUUGCGAGGACAAAGCCCAAAACACCCAGAGCCAAAGAGUGUUAGGCAUCACUGAAGUCUUUCUGUCUGUGUGACCUGAAGACUUAUUACACUUGAGGACUGUGUAUCCUCCAGCCGGUUAGGCGUCGCGUUCUGUGCAUCCAAGAGUCAUUGUGGAUCGCCGGUGAACAAAGUUUGUGAAGGUUCGGAAGUCUACCUUGAAGACUUACCAGAGUGAUUGGGCGAGGACUGUGUGUCCUUAGCUCAAGGGGAAUAAGAUGAAGACGCGGUCUUCUGAGUUGAAUCUCAGCCUCCCUAACCAGACGUACAGUUGUCACAGCAACUGGAACUGGUCCAACAAAUCCUGUGUCUUCAACAAGUGACUGGUUCUAUCUUUUCCCUCCCUUUACUUUGAGUUAGUCUUCGUGAAGUCAUUGCCUAUUUGUCUUAUCUAUUUGACUUCAUUGCUUGACUACUAUCGUUGAUUGGCUUCAUACUAUCUUCCAUCCUGAUCCUUACUACCUAGCUGCUAUUAGUCUUUGAACAUUCACAUAAUUGCAUACUUGACUAUGGCUUGCUUGUUGUAGUUUAUCUUCCGCUACAUAUCAAUUAGGUCAUUUCUAUUGCUUGUCUUCAAAACUUCCACGUUUUGAAGACUUUGAUAAAAAUCGCCUAUUCACCCCCCUCUAGUCGAUAACUAGCACUUUCAAUUGGUAUCAGAGCAAGGUACUCCCUUGUUCUGUGUGAUUCGGUUUAACCACCUGGAGUUUAGCUAUGUCAACUACAGGGAUAAUCAAAGUCUCCGUUGCGUGCCCCGUGUUCGAUGGAACUGAAUAUCCCUACUGGAAGAAUAAGAUGCGCAUGCAUCUUGAAGCCAUUGAUGUCGACCUCUGGUAUGUCGUCAAGAACGGCGUUCCCAAAACUGGUGAAGGUGUCACCCCUGCUGAUGUCAAGAAGUUCAUUUAACUGGACUCGACUGCAAAGAACAUCAUCUGUGGUCAUCUGACCAAAGGAUAGUAUGGCCGUGUGAGUGCUAUGGAAACGUCAAAGCUAGUCUGGGACUGGCUAUCCAAGGUCAACGAAGGUGUCUCGACACAGAGAGACCAAAGGAUCAGUGUUCUUCGCAACCUCUUCAACCGCUUCAAGAGAAACGACAAUGAAAAUGUCCAACUCAUGUUUGAUCGCCUCACUGACAUCACAAAUGAGCUUCAGGAUCUUGGCGCCACUGAGAUUACCAAUCAUGAAAUCGUCAAGAUACUACUGAGAUCACUUGACAGCUCCUUUGACACCCUUGCCCUCAUGAUACAAGAACGCCCUGACUUCAAGACACUCGAUCCGUCUGAUAUACUUGAGAGGCUCAACACACAUGAGUUCCAGCUUUCCAAGAAAAGAGAUAUCUAUGGUCCCAAUUAUGGCCGAACUCGCGCUUUGAAGGCAAAAGUUGUUUCCUCAUAUGAAGAAGAAUCUGAUUGCAGUUCUGAUGAUCCUGAAGACAUUGGAAAGGAACUUGCCAUGCUUGUGAAGAAGUUCCAGAAGUUCACCAAGAAGAAGGGCUUCAGAAAGUCUUCACGAUCUAGCUCAAGAAAUGAUGAAGCUUCCACUCAUGACAACAAGAAGAGAACAUGUCACAAGUGCAAGAAACCUGGACACUAUAUCUCUGAGUGUCCACAGUGGGAAAAUGAGAAGAAGAAGAAGAAGAGCAAGGAAUAUGAUUCUGAUGACAAGAAGAAGAAGAAAUCUUCAAAGUCUUCUUCUAAGUCCUCAUCAAGGUCUUCAUCACAUAAGAAGAACUCAUCUGGCAAGGCUCGUGCUUUUGUUGGCAAGGAAAUGGAUUCAGAGGAGGAGUCUGCUUCUGAGGAGGCAGAGGUGGAGUCUGAAGAAGAGUCCAACCCUGGCUUUGCAAGUCUGGCUCUAGCCACAGCCUAUGUUGCCAAGUCCAGCUUCAACACUGAAGACAAUGACUUCCACACCAACGCUGAAGCUGAUGACAUGGACGAUCCUGCUCCCACCUACUGCUUCAUGGCACGUGGUGCCAAGGUAAAAUCACGUGAUGCUUACUUUCAAACAUCAAGUGAAGAUGACUCUGAUUGUGAAUCCAAACCCAGCUACAAAACACUCGCUAAAAUUGCUACUGAACAACAAAGGGCUAUGGAACAUACUCAAAAACUGUUAGACAAAAGCGAUGACCUGUUGGACGCGGAAAUGACACGUUCUCAGUCCUUAGUUGAAGACAUAAAAAAUCUUCAUGCUAAGUACCAAGAACUUGAAAGUCUUCAUGAGACGCUCUCAACCACUUAUGAAAGGCUCUCCUAUGAUUAUCUUCAAAGGAAGAAAGAGCUUGAGAAAUUGAAAGCGGCUCAUGAAGAUAUUCAAAAAGAGAAUGAGUCAUUUCGCGCUCAACAGACCAGUUCCGCUCAGGAUGGAUUUGAACCACCAUGUCUAAAAUGCAUUGAGCGUGAUAACGCUACCUCUGUUGCUGAAUGUUCCACUGCUGCUACUGUUGCUUUGUCUUCAACUACUGAUGUGGUAGCUAACCCCUCUAUUGAGGAUACCACUACUAUUGCUGAUGAAAAUGCUAGGUUGAAGACAUUGCUUGAAACAGGGAUGUAUAAAAGUCUGAAAGGACAUCAGACACUUUGCGAUGUCCUCAAAAAGCAAAUUCUGAACCGAAACCCUAGGAAAGAGAGUGUUGGGUUCGAGAGGAAAAUGAAUGUUGAUGGUUCCUACUGGAAACCUGAGCAAUAUCCCAAAACCACAUGGGUUGCUGCAAAGGAACCUUCAGUGGAUCCAUCCACCUUAUCUGGCUUUACCUGUGCUAAUCCUAUUAUCAUUGAUGAAUCCUUUGAUGCAAACUAUAAACUGUUCAAAAA
Molecule: long non-coding RNA, 20630 nt
Filed under: Triticum aestivum (bread wheat)
Lineage: Eukaryota; Viridiplantae; Streptophyta; Magnoliopsida; Poales; Poaceae
Description: long non-coding RNA (TAES_LNC005409)
Rfam family: MIR1120/MIR1122 microRNA precursor family (bases 3510-3644)
Source: RNAcentral